This 254-nucleotide unclassified non-coding RNA is filed under the name uncultured Parcubacteria group bacterium. Its description in RNAcentral is "contains 16S-23S intergenic spacer region". It matches the Rfam family "Bacterial small subunit ribosomal RNA", at positions 524 to 776 of the family's 1533-position model. The record is from RNAcentral.
UACGAGUGCCCCGAGCGUUGUCCGGAAUUAUUGGGCGUAAAGGGUGUGUAGGAGGCGCUGUUAGUCUUGUCUUAAAUCUCGUUGCUUAACGUCGAGAAUGGGCGAGAAACGGCAGUGCUUUGAGGAUGUGAGAGGUCUACGGAACUCUGGGUGUAGGGGUGAAAUCCGUUGAUAUCCAGGGGAACACCAAAAGCGAAGGCAGUAGACUGGCGCAUUCCUGACUCUGAGACACGAAAGCGUGGGUAGCGAAUGGG